Long non-coding RNA from Brassica napus (rape), 6091 nucleotides. RefSeq lists it as uncharacterized. NCBI's taxonomy places the organism in Eukaryota, Viridiplantae, Streptophyta, Magnoliopsida, Brassicales, Brassicaceae. The record is from RefSeq and is a predicted model, not a curated record. The transcript has 2 exons.
AACGCUCAAACGCAGAUUCGGAAUAAGACUUCUAUUUGCCCUCUUUUUACGAUUUUUAUACUUUAUCGUUGUCAUUAUCGUAUUCUGAUUUGUUUGGAGUGUGGUAUUAGCAGAUAUCCAGGAUCUCUGAGAAAUUAGGGUUUUUCCUAGUUUCUUUAUUUAAACGGAAAUCGACAGUGCGAAUUUCGGUUCCCACAGUGAACUAAACAAACCAACGAUUUUCCAUUAACCAAUAUUAAAGCUAUAAUAAAACAGUAAUAGAUAAAUAAACUGAACAAAAAAGAUCGAAUCAAUAUAUAAUAAACACUAGAAUAUUUGACAUCAUGACAACACAUCAAAAAAACCACAUAUCACAAUAUAUAUUUUGAUUACGAGAUUCAUGACAAUGCUUUGUUUGCAUAAUAAUGAUAAAAUCCUAGUAAGACACAUCAAAGUCAUGUCCGAGAUGUCUAUUUCAUCUACCGUUCGGAAGACAAGUAAUUGAUUGCAUAACAAACGAUUUAUAAAUUAAUAUAUCAUCAGUCAUUCAAUUAUGAAGCAUUAAGCAUAAAGUUACUUAUCUCUCCACAUGGUUUGGUGAUUGAGAAUAUGUUACGAAGGAAAGUCAUCGGUUCGACGGAGAUCAACGUACGAUUCUUUGUUUUUUUUUUUCAUCGACACGAUCAGAGAUUUUAGAUUUUAGUCGGCUGCUAAGUUUUUUUUUUUUAAUUAGGUAGCUAGGAUUAGAGCUUGCGAUAACAUGUUCUGAAUUAAGAGAAAGAGAAAAUUUGUUGUUAUUAUUAUUAUUCAACCACAAUACAUAUAUAUAGGAAUACAAGAUUAGAGUUUAGAACCUCUAGAUGGGCUUACGGCUUAUAUAGACAUCCACGUAAUAGUUUAUAACAACUUGUGAAUUGUAAACUAUUUUCGGAACAAAAGCUUAAAUGUGAGAUCUUACAAAACAAAAAGAAGUUAUGACAUAAGCUGUCAUAAACCUGGUAAAACAAUAAUACUUAUUCUUGGAUUCUAUCCCUAGAGUUUAUCCAAUGGUUUAUGAUUUAGAAUUUAGGGUUUAUGAUUUAAGAUUUAGAGUUUAGGAUUUAGGAUUUAGUGUUUUGCUCACGACGUUAAAAAUAUAUUUUUUUAAAUCUUUCUUUUUUGUAAUUACUACUAUUUUUUUACCUUUUUAUUUAAAAAACAUAAUAUAACUUGACAAUAUUUUGUUUCAUUUUUUAAAAGAUAUCGAAUAUGAAAUAACACAAUCCUAUUGGUUGUUGAACCCAAAAUAGCUCAAAUAAUAAUAUUACUUCCAUUUCAAAUUAGAUGAUAUUUUAAAAUAUUGGACGCUUAUUAAAAAUUAUUAAUUCAUUAAUUCUGUUUAUUUUUAUAUAUUGCAUUACUUAACACUAAUCCAAUAAUUAAAGAUUACAUUAUAGAAUACAAAUGGUCAAAAAUACUAAAUAAUAUUAAAAUUUUGCAUAAUUGUUUUGAAAAUUAUUUAAAUGAGAUAAAAUGAAAUUUAAAAACAUCAAUUAAAAUAAAUCAGAAGGAGUAUUAUAAACAUGGGGGAGCGCGGGAUAUGCAAAUGCCAGCAUGGUCCUACAUUUUAUGGUCUAACUGAUGACCAAUGAAUUAAUGAAAGAGAAUAGUAAUGCAUUUCUUGCUAUUCCUAAUUUUUUUUACCAUUUAUAAGGAAUAGUUUUUCCUUUUCGUUCUUUUUCAUUCAUUUUAUUCUAGAGUAAUAUAGAACAAAUUUGUUCCUCACUCAAAUUGAUAAGGAAUGAUAUUUUUUUAAUUCAUAUAAUUUAUUCCUCUGUAUUUUUUUCUACUCAUUUAUAAUGUUUUUACAAUGGUCACCAGUUAAACCUAAUAGUUUUUCUUAGAGAAAGAAGUACCCAGUUAUCUCUGCAUGUCAACAACAAAAUCCCGUCUUACAAUCUCGUAUGUGAUGUAUAAAGCUGUAACCAGAAAUUAUUGUCUAUAAUUGCAAAUGAGAAACCUCAAAUAAUCUUAGUAAAAAAAACCUUCAAAUAAUUGCUUUUAGAAAACUCAAAAUAUUAUCUAGAUAACAUUGACUCUAAAUGCACCAGUAAGGUUGUUAAGAAAUAAAUAUCAAUAUUAUCUUGAGCUUACUUAUCUAACAAUACUAAAAGAUCCAAAUACUGAAAAGAGAAUGUGUCCACGUCAUUAAAAUAAAUCGACCAAUGAGAGACAACAUUUUCGCCAUGUCACUACUGCUUCUGAAAAAUGAAGCUCGAAACAGAACUUCCUUUUGGGCUGUCCUUAGAGCUAUCAUUAUCGGGGGAUCUUAUCAGGGUUUUUAAUAAAAUUAGGAAUUAAAAAAAAUGAAAAAAGGCAAUUAUCAUUGAAGACAUAUCUUAAUUAGGCCACACAAGCAACGUCUCUUGUAUGCCACGUGUAGCUUUGAUAGAGUUUUGGGAGGAGAAUACGAGGAAGGCAAAAUCACUUUGCGAAGAACAAAAUCAUCGACGACUCCUCCUCCUCCUCGGGAGCUUCCUUGCUACAUCACGAGCUUCCUCACGAUCGUCAUCCUCGGCGUGGGACUCAACGUGAAGUCCUGGAUGGUUUAUCAACCGCAACCGCCACCGUCUUCUGACUCUUCCCCGUCGCCGUCUGAUCGUUUUCCGGGAAUCACAUCACCGGAGACGCCAUCGAACAAUCAAAACCUCGAGAUUGAGGACAUGUUUGCCAGCUAGAGAGCUUCAAGCCAUUGACCGCUCUCCUCAUCCUUCUCAUCAAAGUCAGUCCCUUUUUUUUUCUUCUCUUUUGAUCUUCACUUGGAACCAUACCCUUCACCAUUCUUAAAGUCUCAGACUUUGAUAAGUAAUUCAAGUUUUAGUAUAAGAGUUGACUUGAUUUAGUAAAAUCAAUCCCAGUUCCCCUUCUAGGGGUUGGUUUGUGUGUUUCAUAGUAUUACUGUAACUCGUUGUUAGUUUGUGAGUCUUCUUGUGUGUUAAAAAGGCAAUGGCAUCUUGUGUGAUGAUUGAUACUAUUAUUGUAAUUCGUUGUGAGUUUGGAGUAAAAAAAGCAAUGGCUUCUUGUCUGGUGAUUGAUAUUUGAUAAUUUAAUAAGUUGUAUGUUUCUUCUUCUUGGUUUGGUCUGUGCUAUUGAAUGUUAUUACUGUAACUGUUGUUAGUUCAUAGUUUUAUUGAGUGCAAGAAAGGCAAGGGCUUCUUGUUUGGUGAUUUAUAAUCUGGAAGUUGUCUGUUUCUUUCAGCUAGAGAAUAUCAUUUUAGUACAAUUGCUUAUCUUUCUAAUUCCCAAUUCCAUCUCCAUCCCCAUCGUCUGCCUCUCCGUCAUGUAUCCCGGGGCCGUCAUCACCACCGCUGAGGCGCAGGAGAUUCUGUGGAUACGAUGAAGGAGAGUCGGAGAUACGGUGCGGCCGGGAUGUUAGGCAGAUUUAUAUCAUUUCCCUUUUCAUCGGAGCCUGCACCAUCAGAGGUUAGUGUAUCUCGUUUUACCAUGCUUUGUUUAAGUUGGACUGCUUUACGUUUUAACAGAUUCAUGAUUAUCAUAAUAAUCAUCGAGAGAUUCCUAUCGUUAAUUCAUUCCCUUGAGUUGAUGAAUAAUGAAAGUGUAUUCACAAGAUCAAAUGUUCCUUCUCAGGUUCUUUCUUCUUUCUCAAGUUUUUUCAAUUUUUUUUUAAGAAACUUGCAAUGGAGGACACAAAUUUAGGUGUUUCUUAACUAAAGUUUUUAACACAAAUUUAUUACUAAACAAUUGAUUAAAAGACCCUAAUGGGUUCUAAGGAUAAAGAUGCUCUUACAUUUACGUACGCCCCAUAUCAAGUCCAAUCUUGCCUAGCUCUAAUUUUGUCUGAAGCGUCCAGAGUUCAUCUUCCCGUCUCUUCCACUUCGUCUUCAACCCCGUUACUGCAAGCUCCUAGCAAUCAAUUAUGCUUUUUAAAUGUCUUCUCUAUUGUUUUGUUCUACCUCUUUCUCUUUAUUGUUUGUAUAUAAGUUGCUAACCAGCUUCAUUGAGACUUAAUUCCAAGCACACCCAAAAACUUCCAUUGGAAAAUCUUAAGCUAUAGAUGGAUGUGCUUUACCCGAUUUUUCUCUUCACCUCUCUCAGUGGUUUCAUAUGUGAGAGAUAUAUAAAUAUCAGAACUCAUUUACUUACAAAAACUAGUCGCAUAGAAAAGAAAGAAAAGAAUUUCGAGUUUAAGGAUUUUGCUGUGGAACCUCUCAAUGGUACUCUAACGCCACUCAAUUGUCAUUUGUUUCCAUUCUUCGAUUUCUUAUAUCAAUUUUAGGUUAAACCCUCAUAUCAAUUAUGUUAUUUCUCAAUUAGAGGCUUUCAGACCAUGUCAGGUGAUUCUAAGACGACGGGGGAUCUUCGAUCACCUUCACUUGCUCAAAAAAGGCUUCCCCUAUAGGUAUGGAUAUCUUUGGUCGUUUGUUUUCAUAUUUAGCUGUCACUGCUAUCACAAAGAUUGAAAAUUUAUGUUCUCUCUGUGUUGUAUAUCAUUUUCUUUCAUGUGAAAUUUGAAAAUUGCUCAAACUUUUCUCAGUUAUGCAAUCUUGCAAGGGAAUAUCAAGAGCCGACAGAUUACUCAAGUGUAAGCUUAAUAAUGUCUUCUUACUUGUGACUCUCAGCGUGCAUACUUUAGAUUCCUAACUAAUAAAAGAAAAAGCAUUACCUGUUUGAUGUGUGUUUGGCUUCUCUUCUUCAGCUAUGGUUUUUAGGACGAUGUUUCGAAAAGUACGGGAAUGCAAAUGCCUUGACCUUUAUGGUUUUUAGGUUUGAGCUCUUCUUUCAAACUGGUAUUUCAGCGACACCAUUUGACUUCGUAAAUUUUUAUCUCUUACAAGUUUUAUGUUUGCAUGGAGGGCUUUCACUUUUUCUGAAUACACUUGAUAAUAUCCGGAGCUUGGAUUGGCUACAGGAGGUGUCACACAACGGACCAAUGUGUGAUUUACUAUGGUCCCCAUGAUCGAUGUGGGUUGGUUAUACAUUUGGACAGCUCAAUUCAAUGUUAACAAUGGACUCAAUGUCACAUCAAGAGCACAUCAAGCUUCUCAUGGAAGGUUUUAACUGGUGCAGGUGUGUAUGUUCAUUUCAAUUGCUCAGGGCUCUAACAAGGGUAUGAUUGGUCUGUCUACGUUUUUACAAUUGUGGACUGAAUCAUUGAUCUCUCAAACUUUUUAUGCAACAUUGAAUUGCUACUGAUGUGGAAACUUUGCAGCGAUUCUAAAGAUAAGAGAGGAGCAGAAUUUCGUCCAGUUUGAUCCAGCUCCUCGACAAGCCGAAAUACCACCAUUCCUAAAACCUAUACAACGGCAUUUGCUCAGCAUCUACAAUGGAAUCGUGAUGGGUUUUACUAAUCACAACCGAGAGCUUUCUUAAUGUCUAUUUGGUAUGUUUCUAACCUCAAAUUUCAAUAAUCUCCAAGUAGAACCUGCAGGUUUUUAAAAAGGAUCACAAGACUAAAUUAUAAACAAUAGGAAACCCUGAAGAAACUACCUCUCAACAACUUCCACCUCUUGAAAUUGGAUUAAAUGUAGGGAGUUCCUUUCCGCAGUUGAUUAUUUGGCCAAAACAUCAGAAGCAUAAGGCCAAGUUCUGACAUGCGCAUGGUAUACAUUGUAUUGGCUUUCCUGUAUCUUCUACCAAAUGUUUCCUCCCAUUGAGCAGUAGUAUUAAAAAAACUCAGUAUCGAGUUUGUUACAUUAGCCUCGGUGAGAAUCUUUGUAAUCAUGCACGUAACACCUUACCAAGAGCUUCUCCAAAUCAUUACCAUAAGCUACCAGGAGGAGCAGAUGUAUGUGCCAAAAAAGGAAUUCGUGCGUCACAGUUAAAAAUAUUUCGUGAGAUUUCGUUUAAAAUAAUAAUAAAGAACUAUUAUCAAAUAUCCACAAUUGUGCUACUAUUUAUACGGGAUGAAUUAGAAACUUUUUUCAAACAAUUAUCAAAGCAACAAUCCUAAAAUAUAUAAAUGUAAAAAUAUUAAUUUCAUUAACCAAGUAAGUUAUAUUUUAAAAACUAAUCAAAGCAGUACAAAAUUAUUGUUCCCCUCGACAUCAUCCAAACUAAUUUACAACUUCAUAAAUAUUAUUCAAAGCUUCAAAGAAAAAUAAAUGAACAAAUA